Molecule: ribosomal RNA, 622 nt
Filed under: uncultured Pseudomonadota bacterium
Lineage: Bacteria; Pseudomonadati; Pseudomonadota
Description: bacterial SSU rRNA
Rfam family: Bacterial small subunit ribosomal RNA
Source: RNAcentral
UGCAGUCGAGCGCGAAGGGGGGGUAACUCCCCGAGUAGAGCGGCGCACGGGUGAGUAACGCGUGGGUAACCAACCUCCGGGCGGGGGAUAACCACCCGAAAGGGUGGCUAAUACCGCAUGAGACCACGGGGUCCCUGGACCCUGGGGCUAAAGAUGGCACCGGCUUGCCGGUGCUGUCACCUGGAGACGGGCCCGCGUACGAUUAGCUUGUUGGUAGGGUAACGGCCUACCAAGGCUGCGAUCGUUAGCUGGUCUGAGAGGAUGACCAGCCACACUGGAACUGGAACACGGUCCAGACUCCUACGGGAGGCAGCAGUGAGGAAUAUUGCGCAAUGGGGGAAACCCUGACGCAGCAACGCCGCGUGGGUGAAGAAGGCCUUCGGGUCGUAAAGCCCUUUCGGACGGGACGAAAGUUCCGCGGGGAUAAUCCGCGGAGCCUGACGGUACCGUAGGAAGAAGCACCGGCUAACUCCGUGCCAGCAGCCGCGGUAAUACGGAGGGUGCAAGCGUUGUUCGGAAUUACUGGGCGUAAAGCGCGUGUAGGCGGCUUUGUAAGUCAGAUGUUAAAGCCCUCGGCUCAACCGAGGAAGUGCAUCUGAAACGGCAAGGCUUGAGUACGGGA